Small nuclear RNA from Rattus norvegicus (Norway rat), 105 nucleotides. Lineage: Eukaryota; Metazoa; Chordata; Mammalia; Rodentia; Muridae. The record is from Ensembl.
GUGCUCACUUCAGCAGCACACACACUAAAACUGGAACGAUACAGAGUAGAUUAGCAUGGCCCCUGCAAGGCCAACAUGCAGAUUCGUGAAGACUUCCUUAUUUUU